GCAAACUUGGUCAUUUAGAGGAAGUAAAAGUCGUAACAAGGUUUCCGUAGGUGAACCUGCGGAAGGAUCAUUAUUGAACAAAAUUGAAUAGACUGCUGCUGGUUCUUUGGAGCAUGUGCACGUCUAUUUUAAUUUUAAUUCUCCUGUGCACUAUUGGUGGUUCUUCCAUUGUUAAAAACAGUUUUAAAAUCUUCGAAGGGCUCGUUAUCUUCGGUCAGAGAAGCUUGGUGUAUAUCAAUCAAUAUACAGCUCUUCUUGCUUUAAAACUGGUUUUUAUUUUGGAGGUUAAUCAUCAUUUACAAAUAUCACACAAUGGAUCAGAAUGUCUUCAGAAAUAUGCAUAAAUGUAUAACUUUCAACAACGGAUCUCUUGGCUCUCGCAUCGAUGAAGAACGCAGC
Molecule: unclassified non-coding RNA, 399 nt
Filed under: uncultured fungus
Lineage: Eukaryota; Fungi
Description: partial contains small subunit ribosomal RNA, internal transcribed spacer 1, and 5.8S ribosomal RNA
Rfam family: Eukaryotic small subunit ribosomal RNA (bases 1-73)
Source: RNAcentral